GGUUGUACUUCGGUACAACCUUAGCGGCGGACGGGUGAGUAACGCGUGGGCGACCUGCCUUAUACAGGGGGAUAACAGUGAGAAAUCACUGCUAAUACCGCAUAAGACCACAGUGCUGCAUGGCACAGAGGUAAAAGGAGUAAUCCAGUAUAAGAUGGGCCCGCGUCUGAUUAGCUAGUUGGAGAGGUAACGGCUCACCAAGGCGACGAUCAGUAGCCGACCUGAGAGGGUGAUCGGCCACAUUGGGACUGAGACACGGCCCAAACUCCUACGGGAGGCAGCAGUGGGGAAUAUUGCACAAUGGGGGAAACCCUGAUGCAGCAACGCCGCGUGAAGGAAGACGGUUUUCGGAUUGUAAACUUCUAUCGACGGGGAAGAAAAAAAUGACAGUACCCGAGUAAGAAGCCCCGGCUAACUACGUGCCAGCAGCCGCGGUAAUACGUAGGGGGCAAGCGUUAUCCGGAAUCACUGGGUGUAAAGGGUGCGUAGGCGGUUAUGUAAGUCAGAUGUGAAAUACCGAAGCUCAACUUCGGGGCUGCAUUUGAAACUGUGUGACUAGAGUACAGGAGAGGUAAGUGGAAUUCCUAGUGUAGCGGUGAAAUGCGUAGAUAUUAGGAAGAACACCAGUGGCGAAGGCGACUUACUGGACUGAAACUGACGCUGAGGCACGAAAGCGUGGGGAGCAAACAGGAUUAGAUACCCUGGUAGUCCACGCUGUAAACGAUGAAUGCUAGGUGUUGGCGGGAGACCGUCGGUGCCGCAGUUAACACAAUAAGCAUUCCACCUGGGGAGUACGAUCG
Molecule: ribosomal RNA, 800 nt
Filed under: uncultured Bacillota bacterium
Lineage: Bacteria; Bacillati; Bacillota
Description: bacterial SSU rRNA
Rfam family: Bacterial small subunit ribosomal RNA
Source: RNAcentral